This 316-nucleotide long non-coding RNA is filed under the name Homo sapiens (human). RNAcentral's name for it is "non-protein coding lnc-MTRNR2L1-9:1". Lineage: Eukaryota; Metazoa; Chordata; Mammalia; Primates; Hominidae. The record is from RNAcentral.
UCUAUUGUUUUGUCUACCUCCGUAAAUAGCUCUGCUUCUGUUGGUCUCCAGCAAUGCUGUCCAAUCUCAACCAGUUAGUUAUGCAGAAAAUGUUGUAAAACUCAUGUGCCAGCAUUAUCUUUAUUUUUGCCUCAAAAACAGAGCCUAUUGACAAUAAGAGUAAAAUGUUUCAGUUCAGAGGCAAGAAUUAUACAAGUGAACAUUUUGAAGUAAUGACAAUGAGUGACUAUAACAAAAUUUAGAGACUUAUAAAGGAAACUACGUGAUGCCCAGGUGCUGAAACACCAUUCAUAGUGGAGAAAUCAAAGUCACGCCA